This 310-nucleotide long non-coding RNA is filed under the name Prunus persica (peach). RNAcentral's name for it is "long non-coding RNA (PPER_LNC007536)". The record is from RNAcentral. Lineage: Eukaryota; Viridiplantae; Streptophyta; Magnoliopsida; Rosales; Rosaceae.
UAGACUUGAUGGUUUGGAGGGCGUGGUCGAUCUUGUCGACAGGCAUGUUGGUGCAGGUGAGGUGCAUCAUGCUCUCCACGCAGAUGAUGUUCUGCAUCUUGUUCGCAAUGUCCAGCGUCAGAUCCGCCGUCGACCCACCCGCACCCCACGUUAUGUCGCAGAACGCCGGGUUGUGGGCCACCAUCCUCUCCAUCCUCUCCAACAGGUUCUCCACCCCAUCCUCCGUCUUUGGCGGGAAGAACUCGAACGAGAACAAAACCUUCUUCUCCUCCAACAACGCCUCCUGGAUCUUCUCUAUCACCUUCAUUCU